UUUAUUUACAUUGAAAAAAAUAAAAUAAAAAAUAUGUUAAAAAUAAAAAUUGUAUAAAAUAUAGAGAUUGAUGUUGUGAUCCACUUGAAACAAUCUAUUCGUGUGUACGAGUAAACAGCACUUUCAUGAAAUUACUGGUGGCAUUGGAGAGUGUGGUAUAGAAACUGAAUAACUCGCUUCUGUUAACGCAUAGCGUUAUGUAUAUAGAAUAUAUACAUAUACAAAGUUAAAUAGUUAGUUGUAUUGCUGAAUCCCAGUACUUCCAAUUAUCUAAUUGAAAGUAACAGUCCAACAAUCUACCCCUCGAUUUCCCCUGGUACUUGGUGGCAACAUUUAUACCCCUCUCUCACAGUGCGUUACACACUCACAAAAUACUAGUAGGGUCAUUUUGAUUCUGUAUAACUCUCACCCUUCUUCAUAUAUAUUUCUAAAUGUAACAUUCAAUAAUAAAUUGUUGUAGGUGGUUCGUGGCCAAGCGCAUUUACGACGAACGUGUGUGUGCAUUGCCUUUUUUUUGAAAAAGAAUAAGGGAUUUACUCUGUGGAAAACACUGCAGCAACCAAUGACCAUUUGCUCUAUCCCCAAUAUAUACAAAACCAAAUACCACAAACAUAGAAAAGAAACCAAAAACUUAUCGAGGAAAAAGUUUUUUGGAGUUCAUGAGUAUUGAAAAAAAUAAAUCAGAAGCUACUAAAAAUACAUGAGAUCACUUUUGUCGACCAUUAAAGUGCAGCCACAUUUUAUCGUUCAAUUAAUUGUACGUACUUAAAGUUUCUUUGAUGAUUUAACAAAAUCACCCUCGUAAAAUACAUUGGACGUAUUGGCGACAGAGAAAAGAAGAUUUUGUCGUAAUUGUAUCUUGAUUUACGAGGAGAGCAUCAUCAAGAUCUUACGAGUGCGAUACAAGGGAGAUAUUUCAUCCCCCAAUAUGCCUUGGGAAACAGAGGAUUUUAGUGUUUGAUACAGACACGCCUCUUCCAUCUGUAGACUUCUAAUCUGAAGAUUACAGUGUAUAUACAUUUAUCUUCAAGUAUUGAAUAUUGAGUCUCAAAAUAAUUCAAUAACAAAAUUGGUGAGCGUAAGGCCCUCUGUCAUAUCUCUUCUUCAUUAGACUAAAGUAUAAAUGUAUUUUCUGGCUUACUCUCCAGGGCAUAUAAAUAUAUAAAUUCAUGUUGUUCAAUAUUAUCCAUUUUGCUAACAAGUUUAAAUUUUAAAAUCAAUUCAAAUCGUGAAAUAUAUUUAACAAAAAAAUUAAGUAAUUGAUUUUAUUAAAACCAAUUGAAAAUUGGCAAAUAACUCUUGAUAAAGAGCUGUCUAUAUUUAGAUAUUGGUUUUUUUAUAAAUUCAAGAGUUUAUAAUAAAUGAAAUUGAAAAAAAAA
Molecule: long non-coding RNA, 1379 nt
Organism: Aphidius gifuensis
Lineage: Eukaryota; Metazoa; Arthropoda; Insecta; Hymenoptera; Braconidae
Exons: 3
Source: RefSeq, a predicted model, not a curated record